Molecule: ribosomal RNA, 1002 nt
Filed under: Escherichia coli
Lineage: Bacteria; Pseudomonadati; Pseudomonadota; Gammaproteobacteria; Enterobacterales; Enterobacteriaceae
Description: partial 23S ribosomal RNA
Rfam family: Bacterial large subunit ribosomal RNA
Source: RNAcentral
GGUUAAGCGACUAAGCGUACACGGUGGAUGCCCUGGCAGUCAGAGGCGAUGAAGGACGUGCUAAUCUGCGAUAAGCGUCGGUGAGGUGAUAUGAACCGUUAUAACCGGCGAUUUCCGAAUGGGGAAACCCAGUGUGUUUCGACACACUAUCAUUAACUGAAUCCAUAGGUUAAUGAGGCGAACCGGGGGAACUGAAACAUCUAAGUACCCCGAGGAAAAGAAAUCAACCGAGAUUCCCCCAGUAGCGGCGAGCGAACGGGGAGGAGCCCAGAGCCUGAAUCAGUGUGUGUGUUAGUGGAAGCGUCUGGAAAGGCGUGCGAUACAGGGUGACAGCCCCGUACACAAAAAUGCACAUAUUGUGAGCUCGAUGAGUAGGGCGGGACACGUGGUAUCCUGUCUGAAUAUGGGGGGACCAUCCUCCAAGGCUAAAUACUCCUGACUGACCGAUAGUGAACCAGUACCGUGAGGGAAAGGCGAAAAGAACCCCGGCGAGGGGAGUGAAAAAGAACCUGAAACCGUGUACGUACAAGCAGUGGGAGCCUCUUAAUGGGGUGACUGCGUACCUUUUGUAUAAUGGGUCAGCGACUUAUAUUCUGUAGCAAGGUUAACCGAAUAGGGGAGCCGAAGGGAAACCGAGUCUUAACUGGGCGUUAAGUUGCAGGGUAUAGACCCGAAACCCGGUGAUCUAGCCAUGGGCAGGUUGAAGGUUGGGUAACACUAACUGGAGGACCGAACCGACUAAUGUUGAAAAAUUAGCGGAUGACUUGUGGCUGGGGGUGAAAGGCCAAUCAAACCGGGAGAUAGCUGGUUCUCCCCGAAAGCUAUUUAGGUAGCGCCUCGUGAAUUCAUCUCCGGGGGUAGAGCACUGUUUCGGCAAGGGGGUCAUCCCGACUUACCAACCCGAUGCAAACUGCGAAUACCGGAGAAUGUUAUCACGGGAGACACACGGCGGGUGCUAACGUCCGUCGUGAAGAGGGAAACAACCCAGACCGCCAGCUAAGG